AGAGUUUGAUCCUGGCUCAGGACGAACGCUGGCGGCGUGCUUAACACAUGCAAGUCGAACGAUGAACCAUUUCGGUGGGGAUUAGUGGCGAACGGGUGAGUAACACGUGGGUAAUCUGCCCUUCACUCUGGGACAAGCCCUGGAAACGGGGUCUAAUACCGGAUACGAGCCGGGGAGGCAUCUCCCGGGUUGUAAAGCUCCGGCGGUGAGGGAUGAGCCCGCGGCCUAUCAGCUGGUUGGUGAGGUAACGGCUCACCAAGGCGACGACGGGUAGCCGGCCUGAGAGGGCGACCGGCCACACUGGGACUGAGACACGGCCCAGACUCCUACGGGAGGCAGCAGUGGGGAAUAUUGCACAAUGGGCGCAAGCCUGAUGCAGCGACGCCGCGUGAGGGAUGACGGCCUUCGGGUUGUAAACCUCUUUCAGCAGGGAAGAAGCGCAAGUGACGGUACCUGCAGAAGAAGCGCCGGCUAACUACGUGCCAGCAGCCGCGGUAAUACGUAGGGCGCAAGCGUUGUCCGGAAUUAUUGGGCGUAAAGAGCUCGUAGGCGGCUUGUCACGUCGAUUGUGAAAGCUCGGGGCUUAACCCCGAGUCUGCAGUCGAUACGGGCUGGCUGGAGUGUGGUAGGGGAGAUCGGAAUUCCUGGUGUAGCGGUGAAAUGCGCAGAUAUCAGGAGGAACACCGGUGGCGAAGGCGGAUCUCUGGGCCAUUACUGACGCUGAGGAGCGAAAGCGUGGGGAGCGAACAGGAUUAGAUACCCUGGUAGUCCACGCCGUAAACGGUGGGAACUAGGUGUUGGCGACAUUCCACGUCGUCGGUGCCGCAGCUAACGCAUUAAGUUCCCCGCCUGGGGAGUACGGCCGCAAGGCUAAAACUCAAAGGAAUUGACGG
RNAcentral lists this ribosomal RNA (893 nucleotides) under uncultured Streptomyces sp. RNAcentral describes it as "bacterial SSU rRNA". It matches the Rfam family "Bacterial small subunit ribosomal RNA", at positions 8 to 916 of the family's 1533-position model. Lineage: Bacteria; Bacillati; Actinomycetota; Actinomycetes; Kitasatosporales; Streptomycetaceae. The record is from RNAcentral.